AUGGAUUACAAAUCUAUGCUUUUUCUACUCUGUCUCUCUGUGCAGGUAUUGCUGUCUUCUGUGUUCUUCAGUGUCCCAACUGAGACAUUCAAACCUCAUUGCAGAGCUCAUGUCUUUCCUCACCAUCAUGUGAGUGUGAGAUUGCUCUGGAUUCUGGUUAUGUGGCCUGCAGCACCUAUAAGAACAAGCUCGUCCAGUGUGCCUGCAUUCCAGCUUCUUAGACUCUACGCAAGUGGACAGAGUAUCAGUGUUUGGCCACUCUUACAGACACCGACUUCUGUCAACUCACUUCUACUGAUCAGGCACUUCACUCCAAGAAGAUAGAAGGUUGCAAGCCUGUCAUCAUUUCCAGUGUGGCUUUGUAUUCUUGGGGUAGCAUCAGAUUUUUCCCACAAAUAUUCAAAGGUAACACUUGUUUUAAGCUUAGUUAUUAAAUCAAAACACAAGAAGUGGAAUCCUUCACUGCGCACAUUAACGCUGUGGAUAAAAACAUCAAGUUCACCAGGGAGGACACAAAGGACGACAGUUUGCCUUUCCUGGACUGCGCUGUGCACAUGGAAGAGAAUGGCAACCUCAACAUUGAAGUUUAUCGGAAGCCCACACACACGGACCAGUACCUCCUCUUUGACUCCCAUCACCCUCUGGAACACAAACUUGGAGUAAUUAGGACCCUACCCCACCGUGCAGAACAUGUUCCCUCUAAGCCUGAAGGGAAAAAGAAGGAACACACACAUGUAAAGGACGCACUUAAAACAUGUGGCUAUCCUAAUUGGGCGUUUAUAAAGUCAGCAAAGAGGCACAGAAAAGAACAUCAGACACCAGCGAGGGAGGAUAAGAAAGACAGAUGCAACAACAUUGUCAUCCCCUAAGUAGCCGGUGUAUCAGAAAAACUCAGGAGAGUUUUCUCCAAAUACAACAUCCCAGUGUACUUCAGACCCAGUAACACACUCAGACAGAAACUGGUUCACCCGAAAGACAAAACUCCAAAACACAGACUUAACAAUGUGGUGUACGCUGUACAGUGCAGCGAGGAAUGCCCAGACCUCUACAUCGGAGAGACCAAACAGCCACUUCACAAGCGCACGGCACAACAUAGAAGAGCCACCUCCACGGGACAAGACUCAGCAGUUCAUCUGCAUCUAAAGGACAAAGGUCGCUCUUUCGAGGAUGCCAAUGUUCACAUUUUGGACAGAGAGGACAGAUGGUUUGAAAGAGGAGUGAAAGAAGACAUUUACGUCCACUGUGAGCGACCAUCUUUGAACAGAGGCGGUGGUUUAUGACACCAACUGUCUGCCAUCUAUAAUCCAGUUUUGAGAUCCCUUCCCAGACACCUUAACGCCCACUCACAUCCUGGGCCAUCUGACCUAAGGGAAAUCACAUGAUAGGGUGGGGCCAGGUUUCACAAUAAGCUCACCCGAAACCCUGCCUGGUUGGGACCCACACCCACUUUCACACCUUGGCUCAUGUGAUUAGGUAGAGGAUCAUCAGGGGGUCCUUUGUCCCUCUUUGGGGGAAACUCCCACUGGGUUUAAAUCUGGGACUCUCCACCACUGACCCUUAGAAGAAGAAGCUUCUCGGAUGAGAGGUGAAACGUCUUCAAGCAACUCAAAGAAGUCCAGACGCUUUUCUUUCGAAGCUCAUUUGACUUCCCAUGUGUUAAUUACAUUUUAUUUGUUGUUGUUUUCUUUUAUAUUUAUAUGUAGUGAUUGGAUGUGGUGGAGCUUUGUUGUUUAUGUGGAAAACAUCUGUUUGUGAUGAUAUUUACAAUGAGGCUUUAAGGUGACAGUUUCCAUGUUAUUUCAAUCCUUUUACUAAGCAAAAACAUGUUUGCAAUUAACAUAUUUUUUCAGUUUUGUCUUUUGGAUUUAUGGUUAACAUUCCUCUGUGACAGCAAAUACUAAACUGGUCCAAGUAACCAGCAUAUCAUUGGUCAAAGGCAAAAAGGACCACAUGUCACACUAGCAAUGAAUUUUUGACUUUGUUUGUGUUAGUAUAGAGUAGGUCUAACAGUGGUUUUCCACAUCUGCUCUAAUAUAUAUAGAUAAUGGGUCAGACAUAUAAAGUCAUUUUGAAAAGUUCAUAAAGGUCACAUCCAUUUAUAUGUGUUAUAUACCAUAACAUUCAUGCUAAUGGUUCUACUGUUUACAGUUACUUUAUGAUGGAUUUCACCCUGGUCACAGCACUAUGUGAAAAGCUGUUAGAGGUAAAGUUAACCCAAUUAAUACCUCAUCAUAAGUCACUCUCUAACACAGGGUAGUUAUUAUUUUUCACUGUAAUUUAUUCCACAACAAUGUUCUUUAUUUGAUUCUUUAAAUAUGCAUAUCGAUUGUUCAGCUGUGUGUCUCUCCACACCUGAAAUAUAUCACAAUGUGGACUUCAUUUCGACAGUAUUUUGUAGAUUGGUACCAUAUUUAUCAAAUCAU
Oreochromis niloticus (Nile tilapia) is the source of this 2423-nucleotide long non-coding RNA. The record is from Ensembl. NCBI's taxonomy places the organism in Eukaryota, Metazoa, Chordata, Actinopteri, Cichliformes, Cichlidae.